AGGACGAACGCUGGCGGCGUGCCUAAUACAUGCAAGUCGAGCGGACCGACGGGAGCUUGCUCCCUUAGGUCAGCGGCGGACGGGUGAGUAACACGUGGGUAACCUGCCUGUAAGACUGGGAUAACUCCGGGAAACCGGGGCUAAUACCGGAUGCUUGAUUGAACCGCAUGGUUCAAUCAUAAAAGGUGGCUUUUAGCUACCACUUACAGAUGGACCCGCGGCGCAUUAGCUAGUUGGUGAGGUAACGGCUCACCAAGGCGACGAUGCGUAGCCGACCUGAGAGGGUGAUCGGCCACACUGGGACUGAGACACGGCCCAGACUCCUACGGGAGGCAGCAGUAGGGAAUCUUCCGCAAUGGACGAAAGUCUGACGGAGCCAACGCCGCGUGAGUGAUGAAGGUUUUCGGAUCGUAAAACUCUGUUGUUAGGGAAGAACAAGUACCGUUCGAAUAGGGCGGUACCUUGACGGUACCUAACCAGAAAGCCACGGCUAACUACGUGCCAGCCGCCGC
Molecule: ribosomal RNA, 512 nt
Filed under: uncultured bacterium
Lineage: Bacteria
Description: bacterial SSU rRNA
Rfam family: Bacterial small subunit ribosomal RNA
Source: RNAcentral